Molecule: ribosomal RNA, 253 nt
Filed under: uncultured bacterium
Lineage: Bacteria
Description: partial 16S ribosomal RNA
Rfam family: Bacterial small subunit ribosomal RNA
Source: RNAcentral
CACGGGGGGAGCAAGCGUUGUUCGGAAUCACUGGGCGUAAAGGGCGUGUAGGCGGUCAAGUAAGCGGAAUGUGAAAGCCCCCGGCUUACCCGGGGAUCUGCAUCCCAAACUGCUUGGCUUGAGUACGGGAGAGGAUGGAGGAAUUCCUGGUGUAGCGGUGAAAUGCGUAGAUAUCAGGAGGAACACCGGUGGCGAAGGCGUCCAUCUGGCCCGAUACUGACGCUGAGGCGCGAAAGCUAGGGGAGCGAACGGG